RNAcentral lists this ribosomal RNA (247 nucleotides) under uncultured bacterium. RNAcentral describes it as "partial 16S ribosomal RNA". It matches the Rfam family "Bacterial small subunit ribosomal RNA", at positions 15 to 252 of the family's 1533-position model. The record is from RNAcentral.
GAUCAUGGCUCAGGGUGAACGCUAGCUACAGGCUUAACACAUGCAAGUCGAGGGGCAGCAUUUCAGUUUGCUUGCAAACUGGAGAUGGCGACCGGCGCACGGGUGAGUAACACGUAUCCAACCUGCCGAUAACUCGGGGAUAGCCUUUCGAAAGAAAGAUUAAUACCCGAUAGUAUAAUUAGACCGCAUGGUCUUAUUAUUAAAGAAUUUCGGUUAUCGAUGGGGAUGCGUUCCAUUAGGCAGUUGG